This 29-nucleotide non-coding RNA is filed under the name Homo sapiens (human). The record is from RNAcentral. Lineage: Eukaryota; Metazoa; Chordata; Mammalia; Primates; Hominidae.
CAAAGUGAUUGGUACCUCGUUGUCUGAUG